GCCGGGAUGGCCGAGCGGACCAAGGCGCAGGCCUGGAGCCCCUUCAGGAGGCCUGUAAGCCUGUGGGCCCUCCGGGCCCUCGUGGGUUCGAAUCCCACUCCCGGCG
RNAcentral lists this transfer RNA (106 nucleotides) under marine sediment metagenome. It matches the Rfam family "tRNA". From Rfam's summary of the family: Transfer RNA (tRNA) molecules are approximately 80 nucleotides in length. Their secondary structure includes four short double-helical elements and three loops (D, anti-codon, and T loops). The record is from RNAcentral.